Zingiber officinale is the source of this 1008-nucleotide long non-coding RNA. RefSeq lists it as uncharacterized. The record is from RefSeq and is a predicted model, not a curated record. The transcript is spliced from 2 exons. NCBI's taxonomy places the organism in Eukaryota, Viridiplantae, Streptophyta, Magnoliopsida, Zingiberales, Zingiberaceae.
GUUAAGUUUAUUCUCCUCAUCUCGAUUCAUUUCUUCUCCCUCUUUCGUGCCCUAACAUCGAACCACUCCGGUCACUUCUCUCGAUCCAUCACCGCUAGCACCUGAGCGCCGCUCACCGCUACCCUUCCCAUGAGACCAGAUCGUGUGAGGCCAGAUUCCUCAUCCUCUCCUUGUGUUUGCGAUGCUUGAUUUGCCCGACGCCACCGACCACGCUAUGCUGACUGUCACGAACCCAAUCGCCGUGUUGCCUUGACUGCCAGACAUCGGUGCCCUAGCUCCGAUUCCUUUCUCCUCGAUUCUUCUCACUGUCGUGGUCUGAUCCAUCACCGCUGACGACUCUCAUCGGCUGGCCUGGUCGGGUUUCCUCCGUAAGCAUGGGUCAUUGCUGUUGGCCCCUUUCUGGCCACAAGUCUCCAUCGUCCCUUCGGUCAUGCCCUAGUUUUGGAUCCACUGCCGUUGCUCUCUCCAUCCGAGAUCACCUCAGCUAUCAGUUGCCACUCUUCCGGCCAUAAGAAGAUCCAACCUGUAACACUACGACCUUGCUAAAUUUUGGCUAGCAAGUAUUCUUUUAGGGUACUUGGCAUAGAGGACAGUAGCUUCAUAAUCCUCCGGCCACAGACAUCGAAUGGCUGACAUCAACAGAGCCUUAAUCUAUCAUCGCCGCAUGUCACCAGAGCUAUCGUCAGAGCCCUGUUUCUCCUCACUCUCUAGAUUUGGAGAGGACAAUCAUCAACGAUGCCAUCUUCCUCAUCAUAUUCGAAGUAGAGAGCUUCUUGUUCAUCACAACUAUGAUUGGAAUCUCCAUUGAGCUAUUGUAGAUCAAAUUGAGACAAUAAAUUAGAUCUGACCAGAUUGUUAGGAUUAGUAUGUGCUUAUGGUUAGUUUGGGACUGAUUUAGAUUUUUUGUAUAAGAUUUAGGUUCAUUUUGGUACUAGAUUGAUUAACUAGGUGAUGAUGGGGAGUUGUGCUUAGAAUUGGAAGUUUAUUGAAUUGAAUCCAUAUUUUCUA